Molecule: ribosomal RNA, 40 nt
Filed under: Hime japonica
Lineage: Eukaryota; Metazoa; Chordata; Actinopteri; Aulopiformes; Aulopidae
Source: RNAcentral
GGGAGACCGCCUGGGAAUACCAGAUGCUGUAAGCCUUUUC